Molecule: long non-coding RNA, 528 nt
Organism: Lingula anatina
Lineage: Eukaryota; Metazoa; Brachiopoda; Lingulata; Lingulida; Lingulidae
Source: RefSeq, a predicted model, not a curated record
UUAUGUUGUAGUCGUCUUUAUGUAGACGGCAAUCAUCUUUGGAUAGACUAACAGCAGUACACAUGAGCUGUCUGUAUAAUCAACUUCGUCAUUCUGGGUGGUCAUUGUGAAGCACAUAAGUCAAGUAUGAAGAUUGUGGCCGUGGUGUUAACGUUUGUGGUCCUUGUUAGCCUCUCUUCGGCACAGCUGACCUUGUAUCCUCGCCCCAACAAAACAAGUGGUUGUCCAGGAAAUCUGGUACUCACUAAACAUUGCGACAGGGUUUGUGCCAAAACAUGCGCUCAACCUGUCCUCGGAAUGUGUUAUUUCCUGUGUUGGAGAGGUUGCGUUUGCCCCAAGGACCGCCCUAUCGUCCUGGAUAAGGAAACCUGGACAUGCGGAAGGCUGGCUGACUGCCCUGCACAAUAAAUUGACACUUUUUGAAAAUUUGCCCAUUUUCUGUAGGAUCUAAGGUAAAGCUGUAGAUUGAGCGUGGCUCAUGAUCAGCAAAUACACAUUUGAAACUUGUUGGAAUCUUUUUUUGUUGUU